Molecule: ribosomal RNA, 492 nt
Filed under: uncultured bacterium
Lineage: Bacteria
Description: partial 16S ribosomal RNA
Rfam family: Bacterial small subunit ribosomal RNA
Source: RNAcentral
AGUGAACGCUGGCGGUAGGCCUAACACAUGCAAGUCGAACGGCAGCACAGUAAGAGCUUGCUCUUACGGGUGGCGAGUGGCGGACGGGUGGGGAAUACAUCGGAAUCUACUUUUUCGUGGGGGAUAACGUAGGGAAACUUACGCUAAUACCGCAUACGACCUACGGGUGAAAGCAGGGGAUCUUCGGACCUUGCGCGAUUGAAUGAGCCGAUGUCGGAUUAGCUAGUUGGCGGGGUAAAGGCCCACCAAGGCGACGAUCCGUAGCUGGUCUGAGAGGAUGAUCAGCCACACUGGAACUGAGACACGGUCCAGACUCCUACGGGAGGCAGCAGUGGGGAAUAUUGGACAAUGGGCGCAAGCCUGAUCCAGCCAUACCGCGUGGGUGAAGAAGGCCUUCGGGUUGUAAAGCCCUUUUGUCGGGAAAGAAAAGCAGCAGGUUAAUACCCCGCUGUUCUGACGGUACCCAAAGAAUAAGCACCGGCUAACUUCGUG